This 66-nucleotide transfer RNA is filed under the name Camelus bactrianus (Bactrian camel). It matches the Rfam family "tRNA". Rfam says of the family: Transfer RNA (tRNA) molecules are approximately 80 nucleotides in length. Their secondary structure includes four short double-helical elements and three loops (D, anti-codon, and T loops). Further hydrogen bonds mediate the characteristic L-shaped molecular structure. tRNAs have two regions of fundamental functional importance: the anti-codon, which is responsible for specific mRNA codon recognition, and the 3' end, to which the tRNAs corresponding amino acid is attached (by aminoacyl-tRNA synthetases). tRNAs cope with the degeneracy of the genetic code in two manners: having more than one tRNA (with a specific anti-codon) for a particular amino acid; and 'wobble' base-pairing, i.e. permitting non-standard base-pairing at the 3rd anti-codon position. The record is from Rfam by way of RNAcentral. RNAcentral also lists the same sequence under 2 other names. Lineage: Eukaryota; Metazoa; Chordata; Mammalia; Artiodactyla; Camelidae.
AGGGGUAUAGCUCAGUGGUAGAGCUUGGCAUGGGGGAGGUCCUGGGUUCAAUCCCCAGUGCCUCUG